GCGAAAAUCAUCUACCCCUUCCUUCUCACUUAGCCAAAUUGAUAAAACAGAAAUACCCACAAUCUUUCCUCCUCCAAAUUUGCAUAAUCAUGGCAACCCAAGCAGGUCUCUUCACCCCCGCCAUCACCGCCCCAAAAUCCAGUAAGUCCCCUCUGGUUCCAUGGAAACCUACCUCUUCCUUUUCAUUCACCAUCCCCAACUCUCUCACUUUUUCCGCCGCCCAAAGAUCUCUCAAAGUUGCCGCUGCUGAAGAGAAAACUGAAGCUCCCACAAAAGAGGCUCCAGUGGGUUUCACCCCACCAGAAUUGGACCCAAAUACACCCUCACCAAUCUUCGGUGGCAGCACUGGAGGGUUGUUGCGCAAGGCUCAAGUUGAAGAAUUUUAUGUUAUCACAUGGGAUUCACCUAAAGAACAAAUCUUUGAGAUGCCAACUGGAGGUGCAGCUAUUAUGAGGCAAGGGCCUAACUUGCUCAAGUUGGCCAGGAAGGAGCAGUGUUUGGCUCUUGGUACCAGAUUGCGAUCCAAGUACAAGAUUAAGUACCAGUUUUAUAGGGAGAUAUUGAACCUCUCCAUUAGGAAAUACCCUACCCCAAAGACGGAGUUUAUCCUGAGAAAGUGAACCCAGGCCGCCAAGGAGUUGGACAGAAUUUCAGAUCCAUCGGAAAGAACGUUAGUCCCAUUGAGGUCAA
This 690-nucleotide unclassified non-coding RNA is filed under the name Hevea brasiliensis (rubber tree). Lineage: Eukaryota; Viridiplantae; Streptophyta; Magnoliopsida; Malpighiales; Euphorbiaceae. The record is from RNAcentral.